Molecule: ribosomal RNA, 247 nt
Filed under: uncultured bacterium
Lineage: Bacteria
Description: partial 16S ribosomal RNA
Rfam family: Bacterial small subunit ribosomal RNA
Source: RNAcentral
CUGGCCGUAAACGAUGGGUACUAGGUGUAGGAGGUAUCGACCCCUUCUGUGCCGGAGUUAACGCAAUAAGUACCCCGCCUGGGGACUACGAUCGCAAGAUUGAAACUCAAAGGAAUUGACGGGGGCCCGCACAAGCGGUGGAGUAUGUGGUUUAAUUCGACGCAACGCGAAGAACCUUACCAAGGCUUGACAUUGAGUGAAAGGCUAAGAGAUUAGCCCCUCUCUUCGGAGACACGAAAACAGGUGG